GGGUCGGUAGCUCAGCGGUAGAGCAUUCGGCUUUUAACCGAUUGGCCCUGGGUUCGAUCCCCAGCCGACCCA
Molecule: transfer RNA, 72 nt
Filed under: Gloeomargaritales cyanobacterium VI4D9
Lineage: Bacteria; Bacillati; Cyanobacteriota; Cyanophyceae; Gloeomargaritales
Also listed under: 1 other name
Description: tRNA-Lys
Rfam family: tRNA
About the family: Transfer RNA (tRNA) molecules are approximately 80 nucleotides in length. Their secondary structure includes four short double-helical elements and three loops (D, anti-codon, and T loops).
Source: RNAcentral